GAUGAAGAACGUAGCGAAAUGCGAUAAGUAAUGUGAAUUGCAGAAUUCAGUGAAUCAUCGAAUCUUUGAACGCACAUUGCGCCCGCCAGUAUUCUGGCGGGCAUGCCUGUUCGAGCGUCAUUUCAACCAUCAAGCCCCCGGCUUGUGUUGGGGACCUGCGGCUGCCCGCAGGCCCUGAAAACCAGUGGCGGGCUCGCUGUCACUCCGAGCGUAGUAGCAUACAUCUCGCUCUGGGCGUGCUGCGGGUUCCGGCCGUUAAACCACCUUCAUAACCCAAGGUUGACCUCGGAUCAGGUAGGAAGACCCGCUGAACUUAAGCAUAUCAAUAAGGGAGGA
This 336-nucleotide unclassified non-coding RNA is filed under the name soil metagenome. RNAcentral describes it as "partial contains 5.8S ribosomal RNA, internal transcribed spacer 2, and large subunit ribosomal RNA". The stretch from base 1 to 120 matches the Rfam family "5.8S ribosomal RNA", at positions 35 to 154 of the family's 154-position model. The record is from RNAcentral.